Molecule: long non-coding RNA, 1674 nt
Filed under: Anas zonorhyncha (Eastern spot-billed duck)
Lineage: Eukaryota; Metazoa; Chordata; Aves; Anseriformes; Anatidae
Description: lncRNA (ENSAZOG00000015365.1)
Source: RNAcentral
AUGGGAAAAGAGGGGGGGUGGCAUUUUAGGGAGGACGGGGCUUUUGUGGCAGAAACAAGGCUCCACGGAGCUUUAGCGUGGAUUUGGGGACCUGGUGCUCAGAGGCUCCUUCCCUGGGGCCACCAAGUCCGGGAGCCUCUGGUCCAGCCUGGGUCUGCCUCGUGCUGGUGUGAGCGGGGCUGUGCGCGGUGGGUGUCCCUGGGGAGGCUGGAGAUGGCUCCUGGGGGUCAGCAGGCAACCUCUCAGCUCCACGUUUUCUCAAAAAUACCACCUGCAAUAACUGCUGACUUGACUGGUGGGAUUUGGAAGAGGAGGAGAGGUGAGGUCUAAUGGUUCAUGGAUUUUCUUUUUCCGUAUUAAACGUGAAGACCGUAUUGAGCCUGUUUUUAAAGGAGCUAUUGUACAAAUAAUUUUUUUCUAUGUCCCACGUAGCCUUAUAGCAUAUGUAAAUAAGGGUCACACAGUAAAUAUAUUGUGCUAUAAAAAUAUUUUGUACAACAUAAUUUCUGAAGUAAUAAAAGUUAUUCUGUCUGUUGUGUAUUGUAUGGUGCAAUUAGUAUUUUCUAACAAUGGAAGGAUUUCUCAAAGGGACUUAAAAGACUGUCAGCAAAAGGAAACAGGUCUGUUAGGAAGAAAAAUCAAUGAGAUCCUGUGUCCCUUCUGUCCCUUCUGCAACUGCCUCACCCCUGUGCAAGCUCCGGACAUUUGGGUAAGGGAGAGCCAUGGGCACUGCAGAGCCCGGUGUGCAGGGGGACGCUGGUAAGGAGUGGACUGGUGAGGAGAGCUGCGUGUUUGUCACCUGCUGAAACGGUUCUGUUUGGUGAAAGAGACAAAUCGACACCUUCCGCUCCCUCCUUUGAGUCCUCCUGUAUAGAAGUCGGUUUAUUUUUCGCAGCCAAGAGGUUUUGCAUUCAAAGACAAAAAUGGGANNNNNNNNNNCUCGUGGGACUGGAUGGGGAUUUAGGGGGGCACCGGUGCCUCCAGUGUGUGGUGGCGAGCGCGCUAGUGCUGGGCAAGGCGCGGUGCUGCAGGGGUGCCGAUAACAAGGGCACUUGUUGAGCUCUGCGCCUUUGACUCCUGUUGACAUCUCCAGAACCCCUUGGGUUAGCGUGGCAGCAGGAGGAGGGCUCGGCUGGGGUUUCCAUUCAGGCAGGACCCGGGUGCUGCUGGCAGAGCUCAGAGGGGGCCCUGCUGCUGUCCCACGUGGGCUGGGGGAAUCUCCUGCCCCAGGGGCUGCUCAGCCUGAUGGGGUGGGGGGAGGCUGUCGGCUGCUGGGAGCUGAGAGCAGCCAAAUCCCUGCUGGAAACAGGCCAGGCUUUUAGGCACGAGCUCGAUGAGCACCUGGGGCGGCUUCCCAGGGUGGGAGCAAGAUCCCUGCUCACCUGGAUGCUCUGGCCCCACGCAGCAGCACUGGGUGAGGGUGCAGGGGGGAGAGGAUGGCAAACGCAGGAGUGCUUCUGCCCUGGGCAUCCCCGUGAAGUGCCGGAGCCUGCAGCUGCCCCGCUCAGCACAGGCUGCAUUAUUUUCUGUUACCUGUUCUUCAGCCUCUUUUCUAAGCACUGUCUGGUUUAACGACUCACACCUUGCAUAAAGCCGGUGCCGCGCUGACCUCCUACCAUUCGCUUUUCCAGGCACGAUGACCGAGCAGCAAAGUUCCCCCGAGCAGAUGGCGAC